RNAcentral lists this ribosomal RNA (374 nucleotides) under uncultured bacterium. RNAcentral describes it as "partial 16S ribosomal RNA". It matches the Rfam family "Bacterial small subunit ribosomal RNA", at positions 338 to 709 of the family's 1533-position model. The record is from RNAcentral.
CCUACGGGUGGCAGCAGUGAGGAAUAUUGGUCAAUGGGCGAAAGCCUGAACCAGCCACGUCGCGUGAAGGAUGACGGUCCUAUGGUUUGUACACUUCUUUUAUAGGGGAAUAAAGUUAUCCACGUGUGGAUCUUUGUAUGUACCCUAUGAAUAAGCAUCGGCUACAUCCGUGCCAUCAGCCGCGGUAAUACGGAGGAUUCGAGCGUUAUCCGGAUUUAAUGGGGUUAAAGGGUGCGUCGGCGGUUUUGUAAGUCAUCGGGGAAAGUUGGGGGCUCAACCCUAGAAUUGCCGUUGAAACUGGAAGACUGGAGUGUGUGAGAGGUAAGUGGAAUUCGUGGUGUAGCGGUGAAAUGCGUAGAUAUCAGGAAGAACAC